GUACUGACGGACGUUAACACGUCCACCAUUGAUCUCACAUACGAAGGGCCCAGGUGGAAAUACACUCAGCUACACACCGCAACAAUGUGACAACCUACGCUGAGAAAAGUUGAUACAUUCGAACACAGACAUUUAUUGUAUACAGAAGCUGUAUGUAACUAUCACUUGUACAUUUGCCAUAAUAACAUUCUGUAUAUAUUGUGAUGUAAC
This is a non-coding RNA of Pelobates cultripes (western spadefoot toad), 210 nucleotides long. The record is from the annotation of a GenBank genome assembly. NCBI's taxonomy places the organism in Eukaryota, Metazoa, Chordata, Amphibia, Anura, Pelobatidae.